UGAGACAGGUUAGUUUUACCCUA
This 23-nucleotide non-coding RNA is filed under the name Arabidopsis thaliana (thale cress). RNAcentral also lists the same sequence under 4 other names. The record is from RNAcentral. Lineage: Eukaryota; Viridiplantae; Streptophyta; Magnoliopsida; Brassicales; Brassicaceae.